GACGAACGCUGGCGGCGUGCUUAACACAUGCAAGUCGAACGGAAAGGCCCUGCUUUUGUGGGGUGCUCGAGUGGCGAACGGGUGAGUAACACGUGAGUAACCUGCCCUUGACUUUGGGAUAACUUCAGGAAACUGGGGCUAAUACCGGAUAGGAGCUCCUGCUGCAUGGUGGGGGUUGGAAAGUUUCGGCGGUUGGGGAUGGACUCGCGGCUUAUCAGCUUGUUGGUGGGGUAGUGGCUUACCAAGGCUUUGACGGGUAGCCGGCCUGAGAGGGUGACCGGCCACAUUGGGACUGAGAUACGGCCCAGACUCCUACGGGAGGCAGCAGUGGGGAAUAUUGCACAAUGGGCGGAAGCCUGAUGCAGCAACGCCGCGUGCGGGAUGACGGCCUUCGGGUUGUAAACCGCUUUCGCCUGUGACGAAGCGUGAGUGACGGUAAUGGGUAAAGAGGCACGGGCUAACUACGUG
This 468-nucleotide ribosomal RNA is filed under the name uncultured bacterium. RNAcentral describes it as "partial 16S ribosomal RNA". It matches the Rfam family "Bacterial small subunit ribosomal RNA", at positions 28 to 507 of the family's 1533-position model. The record is from RNAcentral.